AAAAAGGGUGCUCGUCAUUGCAUGUGAUUAUAUCGCAAAAAGCAAUGUUUGCAGAUUUCUGCAAACUUUGUAAUUGUGCAGACGCAUUGUAGAAUUGCCGCUGAAAUUUGCAAGAACCUUUGAACAUAGAUUCUUAUCUACGUUCGAAGGAUUGUGGAUGGUAGCAGUUACUUCAGUGGGGUAUGGCUUUGCAUAUCCAGUGCAUAAUUUUUGUAGAAUGAAAGGCAAGGCUGGCCAAGAGAAUGGGUUGCAUUUGG
This 257-nucleotide small nuclear RNA is filed under the name Glossina brevipalpis. RNAcentral's name for it is "U11 spliceosomal RNA". It matches the Rfam family "U11 spliceosomal RNA". The record is from RNAcentral. Lineage: Eukaryota; Metazoa; Arthropoda; Insecta; Diptera; Glossinidae.